AGCAAAACAUUGAUCUUGGUAAACCUCAAGAUGCGACUCAGAAAUGGCGGGUGCUAUCAGCUGAUCAAGCUCAAGCUUCUGUCGUAGAUGUUGAUGAAGAGUGCAAACAGGUGCUCACUUCACUAAAUUUCUCCAAUGAAGAUGCUGAGAAGAUGCUGAAGAAGGCAUUUGGAUGGAUCCACUCGCCAUAUUGGAGCGAAGAGAGAAAGAAAGAGGUUCCAAGUGCUGAGGUGGUAACUGGAGUAUUAGACUACAUCAGGAGUCUUGGGCUAUCUGACGAAGACCUUCACAAGUUGCUGAAGAAAUUUCCAGAAGUUCUUGGUUGUGAUCUUGACAGGGAGGUGAAGCUGAAUGUGAGCAAGCUGGACAGUGACUGGGGAAUAAAUGGGAAAACUUUGCGGAGUCUUCUCCUGAGAAAUCCAAAAGUUUUGGGCUACAAUAUUGAUUGCAGAGGGGAUUGCAUGGCACAGUGCACCCGUUGUUGGGUUAGGUUCUAAUGUUCCAUUCUACAUGACUACAUCACUAUACAGAAACCCCAGAGGGCAUUCUGCUGGCUGUGCAGAAAUUCAGAUGACAUUUUACUGGCCAUAUUUCUGUAAACUAGCACCUGCCAAAUACAAAUGCAUAUCCGUAGUUGAUGGAUAGACACUUGUUACUUCAUGUAUGCAUAUUCAAGAGCCAUACUGUCGGUAAAAAAGUUGCAAUAAAUAUGACAAUACCUGAAUGAUCACUGAUUCGGUUCAAC
This 745-nucleotide long non-coding RNA is filed under the name Setaria viridis. RNAcentral's name for it is "long non-coding RNA (SVIR_LNC010053)". The record is from RNAcentral. Lineage: Eukaryota; Viridiplantae; Streptophyta; Magnoliopsida; Poales; Poaceae.